AACGAACGCUGGCGGCAUGCCUAACACAUGCAAGUCGAACGAAGGCUUCGGCCUUAGUGGCGCACGGGUGCGUAACGCGUGGGAAUCUGCCCUUUGGUUCGGAAUAACAGCUGGAAACGGCUGCUAAUACCGGAUGAUGACGAAAGUCCAAAGAUUUAUCGCCAGAGGAUGAGCCCGCGUUGGAUUAGGUAGUUGGUGGGGUAAAGGCCUACCAAGCCGACGAUCCAUAGCUGGUCUGAGAGGAUGAUCAGCCACACUGGGACUGAGACACGACCCAGACUCCUACGGGAGGCAGCAGUGGGGAAUAUUGGACAAUGGGCGCAAGCCUGAUCCAGCAAUGCCGCGUGAGUGAUGAAGGCCAUAGGGUUGUAAAGCUCUUUUACCCGGGAAGAUAAUGACUGUACCGGGAGAAUAAGCCCCGGCUAACUCCGUG
Molecule: ribosomal RNA, 433 nt
Filed under: uncultured bacterium
Lineage: Bacteria
Description: partial 16S ribosomal RNA
Rfam family: Bacterial small subunit ribosomal RNA
Source: RNAcentral